RNAcentral lists this long non-coding RNA (414 nucleotides) under Mus spretus (western wild mouse). Its description in RNAcentral is "lncRNA (ENSMSPG00010042136.1)". The record is from RNAcentral. Lineage: Eukaryota; Metazoa; Chordata; Mammalia; Rodentia; Muridae.
GGCUCCCUGGCCUGGGAGAGUUUGAGCAGAAGUGGUUCCCAGUGGGAAAGUGCGAACUUCAGGAUGGGCCGUGUGGAGACCUCUGGGGCUGAGACAUGACUAACACAUUUCCAUGCUGAAGGAUGUGGCGGACUGGCAAGGGACUAGAAUAAGAGAUGACGUCAGGGGAGGAGAACUGCUUGAUGGGUGUGAAACAGAGAAAAUCAGGAACCGGUUGUAACUUGUUCCUCAGCACCCCUAACUCUGAUAAGUUCUGCACAUGUCUCUUGUGGCUAACCCUAACCCAGAAUCAUAAGAGGAGGAAAUUCCAGGAAAUAUGGUCUUAUCUUCAUUGAGAUGGUAUGAAGCUAAGAGAGAUCCAGUUUUUCCCAAUGUUAAAUAAAGAACCUCUGCCCACUAAGGACUUUUACAGGA